RNAcentral lists this ribosomal RNA (254 nucleotides) under uncultured bacterium. RNAcentral's name for it is "partial 16S ribosomal RNA". It matches the Rfam family "Bacterial small subunit ribosomal RNA", at positions 524 to 776 of the family's 1533-position model. The record is from RNAcentral.
UACGGGGGGGGCAAGCGUUGUUCGGAAUUACUGGGCGUAAAGGGCUCGUAAGCGGCCAACUAAGUCAGACGUGAAAUCCCUCGGCUUAACCGGGGAACUGCGUCUGAUACUGGAUGGCUUGAGUUUGGGAGAGGGAUGCGGAAUUCCAGGUGUAGCGGUGAAAUGCGUAGAUAUCUGGAGGAACACCGGUGGCGAAGGCGGCAUCCUGGACCAACACUGACGCUGAGUGAGCGAAAGCCAGGGGAGCAAACGGG